Molecule: ribosomal RNA, 486 nt
Filed under: uncultured Pseudomonadota bacterium
Lineage: Bacteria; Pseudomonadati; Pseudomonadota
Description: bacterial SSU rRNA
Rfam family: Bacterial small subunit ribosomal RNA
Source: RNAcentral
UGGGGAAUCUUGCGCAAUGGGCGAAAGCCUGACGCAGCGACGCCGCGUGUGCGAUGAAGGUCUUCGGAUCGUAAAGCACUGUCGCGAGGGAAGAAAGGAAACUGACGGUACCUCGAGAGGAAGCACCGGCUAACUCUGUGCCAGCAGCCGCGGUAAUACAGAGGGUGCGAGCGUUGUUCGGAAUUAUUGGGCGUAAAGCGCGAGUAGGCGGCCUGUCAAGUCGCGUGUGAAAGCUCCAGGCUCAACCUGGAAAGUGCGCGCGAAACUGGCGGGCUUGAGUGCCGGAGAGGGUGGCGGAAUUCCCGGUGUAGAGGUGAAAUUCGUAGAUAUCGGGAGGAACACCAGAGGCGAAGGCGGCCACCUGGAAGGACACUGACGCUGAGAAGCGGAAGCGUGGGGAGCAAACAGGAUUAGAUACCCUGGUAGUCCACGCCGUAAACGAUGAGUGCUAGCUGUGGUGGGAGUUGACCCCUGCCGUGGCGACGC